Molecule: transfer RNA, 77 nt
Filed under: bacterium
Lineage: Bacteria
Description: tRNA-Ile
Rfam family: tRNA
About the family: Transfer RNA (tRNA) molecules are approximately 80 nucleotides in length. Their secondary structure includes four short double-helical elements and three loops (D, anti-codon, and T loops).
Source: RNAcentral
GGGCGGUUAGCUCAUUUGGUUAGAGCGCGUCUCUGAUAAAGACGAGGUGAAUGGUUCGAAUCCAUUACCGCCCACCA